Molecule: ribosomal RNA, 495 nt
Filed under: uncultured bacterium
Lineage: Bacteria
Description: partial 16S ribosomal RNA
Rfam family: Bacterial small subunit ribosomal RNA
Source: RNAcentral
GACGAACGCUGGCGGCGUGCCUAAUACAUGCAAGUAGAACGCUGAAGGAGGAGCUUGCUUCUCUGGAUGAGUUGCGAACGGGUGAGUAACGCGUAGGUAACCUGCCUGGUAGCGGGGGAUAACUAUUGGAAACGAUAGCUAAUACCGCAUAAGAGUAGAUGUUGCAUGACAUUUACUUAAAAGGUGCAAUUGCAUCACUACCAGAUGGACCUGCGUUGUAUUAGCUAGUUGGUGAGGUAACGGCUCACCAAGGCAACGAUACAUAGCCGACCUGAGAGGGGGAUCGGCCACACUGGGACUGAGACACGGCCCAGACUCCUACGGGAGGCAGCAGUAGGGAAUCUUCGGCAAUAGACGGAAGUCUGACCGAGCAACGCCGCGUGAGUGAAGAAGGUUUUCGGAUCGUAAAGCUCUGUUGUAAGAGAAGAACGAGUGUGAGAGUGGAAAGUUCACACUGUGACGGUAUCUUACCAGAAAGGGACGGCUAACUACGUG